This is a microRNA precursor of Cercocebus atys (sooty mangabey), 65 nucleotides long. The record is from Ensembl. Lineage: Eukaryota; Metazoa; Chordata; Mammalia; Primates; Cercopithecidae.
GCUGAACUCUAGCCUGAGCAACAGAGUGAGAUGGUCUUGCUUUGUUGCCCAGGCUGGAGUCCAGU